UACGUAGGGGGCAAGCGUUAUCCGGAAUUACUGGGUGUAAAGGGAGCGUAGACGGUGAUGUAAGUCUGGAGUGAAAGGCGGGGGCCCAACCCCCGGACUGCUCUGGAAACUAUGUGACUGGAGUGCAGGAGAGGUGAGCGGAAUUCCUAGUGUAGCGGUGAAAUGCGUAGAUAUUAGGAGGAACACCAGUGGCGAAGGCGACUCACUGGACUGUAACUGACGUUGAGGCUCGAAAGCGUGGGGAGCAAACAGG
Molecule: ribosomal RNA, 253 nt
Filed under: uncultured bacterium
Lineage: Bacteria
Description: partial 16S ribosomal RNA
Rfam family: Bacterial small subunit ribosomal RNA
Source: RNAcentral